RNAcentral lists this ribosomal RNA (492 nucleotides) under uncultured bacterium. Its description in RNAcentral is "bacterial SSU rRNA". It matches the Rfam family "Bacterial small subunit ribosomal RNA", at positions 903 to 1397 of the family's 1533-position model. The record is from RNAcentral.
AAAUGAAUAGACGGGGGCCCGCACAAGCAGCGGAGCAUGUGGUUUAAUUCGAAGCAACGCGAAGAACCUUACCUAGACUUGACAUCUCCUGCAUUACCCUUAACCGGGGAAGUUCCUUCGGGAACAGGAAGACAGGUGGUGCAUGGUUGUCGUCAGCUCGUGUCGUGAGAUGUUGGGUUAAGUCCCGCAACGAGCGCAACCCUUAUUGUUAGUUGCUACCAUUUAGUUGAGCACUCUAGCGAGACUGCCCGGGUUAACCGGGAGGAAGGUGGGGAUGACGUCAAAUCAUCAUGCCCCUUAUGUCUAGGGCUACACACGUGCUACAAUGGCAAGUACAAAGAGAAGCAAUACCGCGAGGUGGAGCAAAACUCAAAAACUUGUCUCAGUUCGGAUUGUAGGCUGAAACUCGCCUACAUGAAGCUGGAGUUGCUAGUAAUCGCGAAUCAGAAUGUCGCGGUGAAUACGUUCCCGGGCCUUGUACACACCGCCCGU